This 332-nucleotide unclassified non-coding RNA is filed under the name soil metagenome. RNAcentral's name for it is "partial contains 5.8S ribosomal RNA, internal transcribed spacer 2, and large subunit ribosomal RNA". The stretch from base 1 to 120 matches the Rfam family "5.8S ribosomal RNA", at positions 35 to 154 of the family's 154-position model. The record is from RNAcentral.
GAUGAAGAACGUAGCAAAAUGCGAUAAGUAAUGUGAAUUGCAGAAUUCAGUGAAUCAUCGAAUCUUUGAACGCACAUUGCGCCCGCCAGUAUUCUGGCGGGCAUGCCUGUUCGAGCGUCAUUUCAACCCUCAAGCACAGCUUGGUGUUGGGACUCGCGUUAAUUCGCGUUCCCCAAAUUGAUUGGCGGUCACGUCGAGCUUCCAUAGCGUAGUAGUAAAACCCUCGUUACUGGUAAUCGUCGCGGCCACGCCGUUAAACCCCAACUUCUGAAUGUUGACCUCGGAUCAUGUAGGAAUACCCGCUGAACUUAAGCAUAUCAAUAAGCGGAGAA